This 203-nucleotide long non-coding RNA is filed under the name Vigna radiata. RNAcentral's name for it is "long non-coding RNA (VRAD_LNC015353)". The record is from RNAcentral. Lineage: Eukaryota; Viridiplantae; Streptophyta; Magnoliopsida; Fabales; Fabaceae.
UGAAAGGUGAAGCAGGUCUACCUAUCUCAAAAGUGUUGCUCAUAUCUGCCUGGUCUUCCAAUUCUUCAUCAGUCUCCUCAGGUGCAAGAGUAGGGACAUAGGAGGGUGGGAAAGUAAGUGGCACAAUAGUUAGCUCAUGACUCUGCUCCCCAUCUCCUAUGUGGAUGGCACCAACAUCAUCUGGAAGCUGAACAGUCUGGAAU